AUGGGGACAGGGACACAGACCCCUGCUGCUCCUGACCACACCUGUCUGGUGUGCUCUGCUCUGCCCUGCACUGCAGACUGUGCAAAAUCAGCCAGAAGGAGCAAGGAGAGGCCCUGGCUGCAGCGCUGGCAGACAGCCUGUGGGCAGCGGGGGACGGCCGGAGAGCCACCGUCUGCCUCCUCACUGCAGCCACCCACUGCUCCCCUCCUGCGGGCUACAAAGCCGACAGCUUCACUGAGCGGAUCCACCUGUUCGAGUUCCCCGAGAAAGCAGCAGCUCAGGAGUUCAUCUUUGACCAUAUUGGCUGUGUAUGUAUGGAAUGCCA
Molecule: long non-coding RNA, 325 nt
Filed under: Gallus gallus (chicken)
Lineage: Eukaryota; Metazoa; Chordata; Aves; Galliformes; Phasianidae
Description: long non-coding RNA NONGGAT009457
Source: RNAcentral